This 340-nucleotide ribosomal RNA is filed under the name uncultured Pseudomonadota bacterium. RNAcentral describes it as "bacterial SSU rRNA". It matches the Rfam family "Bacterial small subunit ribosomal RNA", at positions 28 to 351 of the family's 1533-position model. The record is from RNAcentral. Lineage: Bacteria; Pseudomonadati; Pseudomonadota.
GACGAACGCUGGCGGCGUGCUUAACACAUGCAAGUCGAACGAUGAAGCCAGAGCUUGCUCUGGUGGAUUAGUGGCGAACGGGUGAGUAACGCGUGGAUAAUCUACCCUUAAGUUUGGAAUAACUCAUCGAAAGGUGGGCUAAUACCGAAUGAUACUGCACAACUACUGUUGUACAGUCAAAGAAGGCCUCUGUUUACAAGCUUUCGCUGAAGGAUGAGUCCGCGUACCAUUAGCUAGUUGGUAGGGUAAUAGCCUACCAAGGCGACGAUGGUUAGCUGGUCUGAGAGGAUGAUCAGCCACACUGGAACUGAGACACGGUCCAGACUCCUACGGGAGGCAG